CCGCCGUAGUUUCUAAACUUCAUCUCUCAGUAGGGACUGAGGACUUGUGAUGAUUGCACUAAAUGAGAAAUUACGUAAGAAUAAGUUUAUAGGUUUUUCCAGUGUUACACUCCUUUGGUGGCGAAUUUGGACGAAGCCCAUCUGCCUGUGGUCUGUCGGAAGAGGUGGAACUGCUGUCGAGGAAAAAGUGCACAUUCGGUGAUUGAUGAACUCUAAAUAAAACCCCACUGACAACUGUA
This is a long non-coding RNA of Anguilla rostrata (American eel), 239 nucleotides long. RefSeq lists it as uncharacterized. The transcript is spliced from 2 exons. NCBI's taxonomy places the organism in Eukaryota, Metazoa, Chordata, Actinopteri, Anguilliformes, Anguillidae. The record is from RefSeq and is a predicted model, not a curated record.